RNAcentral lists this ribosomal RNA (279 nucleotides) under uncultured bacterium. RNAcentral's name for it is "partial 16S ribosomal RNA". It matches the Rfam family "Bacterial small subunit ribosomal RNA", at positions 506 to 784 of the family's 1533-position model. The record is from RNAcentral.
UGCCAGCCGCCGCGGUAAUACGGAGGGGACUAACGUUGUUCGGAUUUACUGGGCGUAAAGGGUGCGUAGGCGGACCUUCAAGUCGGAUGUGAAAUCUAUAGGCUCAACUUAUAGCUUGCAUUCGAAACUGAUGGUCUUGAGUGGAUUAGAGGAAUGCGGAAUUACAGGUGUAGCGGUGAGAUGCAUAGAUAUGACUUAGAACACCAAUUGCGAAGGCAGCUAGCUAGGCAUUAAUUGACGCUGAGACGCGAAAGCGUGGGGAGCAAACAGGAUUAGAUA